UGGCAUCGCACGGGGGAGGGACAAAAUGGGUGCUGUGCAAUUCCCUUCGAGUCCGGCCAUGCGAGACGCCGCAGAGAGCCCGGCGUGCCUUCGGCGACAGGCCUGCAGAGGAUCGGGGACUUUGGAAUUUGGAAGUGCGCGCCCUGCCGACACCCGGCUAAACGUGGCUAAAACGACGUUCAGAAAGCUAGGAACAUUGCCGGGGGAGUGUAGGUGAAUCCUUUCUUGAAAUACUACACUUCAUCCAUGCCAAGGGAUAGUCGGAAAAAUCCAUGCCGUAAGGCCGUCUGGAACUCUGGAUAGUGGAGUUCAGAACAGUCGUUUCUACGUUCCACCGUUCAUCAGGUGAAGGUGAGCACUAGAAACAUCUGGUAUUCAUCUUCGAUCUGUACCUCAGCUCCUAACUGUAAUCCUCGCAUAGAAGUGCCAGAAAUGUUUACAUACAGUAGGGAACGCCGCUUGCCGAGCUGGGGCCAAAAUCCUGGGUGUCAAAGUCUUCUAAAAUCUUUGGCACUUUACAUAUUCUCACGCAAAUGCCACAAAAAUUGUGUUGUGUUGCGAAAAACAUGUGGCAUUAACUCACCCCCACAGGUUUUGAAUAUGGCUCCGCCUC
This is a long non-coding RNA of Brachypodium distachyon (stiff brome), 613 nucleotides long. RefSeq lists it as uncharacterized. The record is from RefSeq and is a predicted model, not a curated record. The transcript is spliced from 2 exons. Lineage: Eukaryota; Viridiplantae; Streptophyta; Magnoliopsida; Poales; Poaceae.